CAGCCGCCGCGGUAAUACCGGCGGCCCGAGUGGCGGCCACUAUUAUUGGUCUUAAAGCGUCCGUAGCCGGGUUGGUUAGUCUCCCGGGAAAUCUGGCCGCUUAACGGUCAGAAUUCCGGGAGAUACUGCCAGCCUAGGGACCGGGAGAGGCCGAGGGUAUUCCCGGAGUAGGGGUGAAAUCCUAUAAUCCCGGGAGGACCACCUGUGGCGAAGGCGCUCGGCUGGAACGGGUCCGACGGUGAGGGACGAAGGCCAGGGGAGCAAACCGGAUUAGAUACCCGGGUAGUCCUGGCUGUAAACGAUGCGGACUUUGUGUCGGACAAGCUAUGAGCUUGUCCGGUGCCGGAGGGAAACCGUUAAGUCCGCCGCCUGGGGAGUACGGCCGCAAGGCUGAAACUUAAAGGAAUUGGCGGG
Molecule: ribosomal RNA, 414 nt
Filed under: uncultured microorganism
Description: bacterial SSU rRNA
Rfam family: Archaeal small subunit ribosomal RNA
Source: RNAcentral